RNAcentral lists this ribosomal RNA (518 nucleotides) under Daphnia sinensis. RNAcentral's name for it is "partial large subunit ribosomal RNA". It matches the Rfam family "Bacterial large subunit ribosomal RNA", at positions 1807 to 2608 of the family's 2925-position model. The record is from RNAcentral. Lineage: Eukaryota; Metazoa; Arthropoda; Branchiopoda; Diplostraca; Daphniidae.
ACAAAAACAUCUCUUUUUGACACAUAAAAAGUACCGUCUGCUCAAUGCAAUUUGUAAAUAGCCGCAGUAUUCUGACUGUGCUAAGGUAGCAUAAUCAUUAGUCUUUUAAUUGAAGGCUGGUAUGAAUGACGAGACGAGAAAAUAGCUGUCUCUAAAAUAAAUCUUGAAUUUUAUUUCUAAGUGAAAAAGCUUAGAUAAUUUUAAAGGACGAUCAGACCCUUUGGAGCUUUAUUUAUUUUAAAUUUUAAUUUAUUUUAGAUUAUUGAAUGAAUAAUAAAUUUUGUUGGGGCGACAGAGAGUAAUAAAUACCACUCUUUUUUUUAAACAAUUAUAAUUGAAAAAUUGAUCCUUAAAGUAAGAUUAAAAGCCUAAGUUACCCUAGGGAUAACAGCGUAAUCUUCUUGGAGAGUUCAAAUCGAUAAGAAGGUUUGCGACCUCGAUGUUGGAUUAAGAGAUUGACAAGGUGCAGAAGUUUUGUUGGAAAGUCUGUUCGACUUUUAAUUUCUUACAUGAUCUGA